Molecule: ribosomal RNA, 253 nt
Filed under: uncultured bacterium
Lineage: Bacteria
Description: partial 16S ribosomal RNA
Rfam family: Bacterial small subunit ribosomal RNA
Source: RNAcentral
UACGGAGGGUGCAAGCGUUGUCCGGAUUUAUUGGGUUUAAAGGGUGCGUUGGCGGCCUUUUAAGUCAGUGGUGAAAGCCCGCGGCUCAACCGCGGAACUGCCAUUGAUACUGGGAGGCUUGAGUACAGACGAGGUAGGCGGAAUUGAAGAUGUAGCGGUGAAAUGCUUAGAUAUCUUCAAGAACACCGAUUGCGUAGGCAGCUUACUAGGCUGUAACUGACGCUGAGGCACGAAAGCGUGGGGAGCGAACAGG